AGGGUACACUUAGUCGGGGAAGUAUCUAUUUAUGCCUGUGACUGCUCUUUUGCAGCGUGAAGCUAUUCCAUGAGUUUCACACGGAAAUGUUCUUCGACUGAUCAGAUUAAAGUUCUUUUGGCGAAAGCUUGUCCUGCAUAGGAGGAAUCUGGUUACAUAGACAGACUUGUAACUUGCAUAAACAAAGCUAGUUGAUUCAAGUCAAUUGAUAGUUGUUUUCAUCAUGAGCAUCCAAAGAGUCUCUUCAUAUGGAUCUUCUUCCUCUGGUUGGAAAUAUGAUGUGUUCCUAAGUUUUUGAGGUGAAGACACCAGAAAGAAUUUCAAGGGUCAUCUCUAUUAUGCUUUGACUCGUAAAAUUGGAAUCGUAAACCUAAACCCUAAACCCACCAAUUGAUCCACAUCAUAGAAAAUUGGAACCACUUUUUGUCCCAAUGUGUUCUUACAUUCAAUAAUAUUAACAAGUUUAUCCAAGCACCAAGGAGAAGAAGCAUAGUUUUUUGAGAAAACAACAAUUGAAAUUCUCGAUUUUUCGAUUGCAUGAAGGGGUUUUGAUGAAAUGGGUUUUUCUAUCUCAAGUUCUUUGACUCCUUUAUGAGUCAAAACAGAAUAGAGAUGAUCAGUGAAAUUUUGCUUUGACUCAUAAAGGAGUCAAAGCACUCGGGAUAGGAAAACCCAUUUCAUCAGAACUCCUAGAUGCAAUUGAAAAAUCGAGAAUUUCAAUUGUUGUUUUCUCAGGAAACUAUGUUUCUUCUCUUUGGUGCUUGGCUUAACUUGUUAAGAUUAUUGGAUGUAAGAAGACAUUGGGACAAAAAGUGAUUCCAAUUUCUAUGAUGUGGAUCAAUUGGUGAAAGAAAACAGAUGGGUAAUUUUGAGAAAGCAUUUGCUAAGCAUGAAAGAAACCAUGCUUCUUCUCCUUGGUGCUUGAAUAGAAGUGAUUAAUAUCUAUCGAAGAGAUUUGCAGGAUAGUUAUGAGUCAGACUGUAUUGAACAUUGUUGUUAAUGCAGUAACAAGAAAAUUAAGUUGUUCAUCAGCUUCAACAUUCAUGAAUCUGAAGAAAGUUUUAGUUGGAGUGAGUUUCAUUUUUGGAGAAACUACUAAUGCAGGCUAAAAAACGAUGCCAAUGGUUCCAUGGAAGCAGUUCUCAAUUUCCCCAACACGGACCUCUUUUUUUCUUUUAUGUUAAUAUCAGGACAUUGAAAUCAUUUGAUACAUUAAUUAUAAGUUACUGAAAUUUGAAGUCUGUAAAUAGAAAUGAUAAAUAUGUUCAAGAUUGAAAUAUAAGAAGUUGGUAGAAAAGUUAAUACCUUGAA
Molecule: long non-coding RNA, 1311 nt
Organism: Pistacia vera
Lineage: Eukaryota; Viridiplantae; Streptophyta; Magnoliopsida; Sapindales; Anacardiaceae
Exons: 4
Source: RefSeq, a predicted model, not a curated record